This 498-nucleotide ribosomal RNA is filed under the name Trochalus sp. DA0878. RNAcentral's name for it is "partial 16S large subunit ribosomal RNA". It matches the Rfam family "Bacterial large subunit ribosomal RNA", at positions 1844 to 2600 of the family's 2925-position model. The record is from RNAcentral. Lineage: Eukaryota; Metazoa; Arthropoda; Insecta; Coleoptera; Scarabaeidae.
UUUAAGGUCUAAUCUGCCCAAUGAGGGUUUAAAUGGCCGCGGUAUUUUGACCGUGCAAAGGUAGCAUAAUAAUUAGUUUUUUAAUUGAAAGCUGGAAUGAAUGAUUGGACGAGAAAAUAGCUGUCUCAAUUUAAUUUUAUUAGAAUUUUAUUUUUAAGUAAGAAAGCUUAAAUUUUUUUAAAAGACGAGAAGACCCUAUAGAGUUUUAUAUUUUUAUAUUUAUAUUAAUAUUUUUAGAAUUUUAAUUUUAGUAUAUAUAAAAUUAUUUUGUUGGGGUGAUAGAAAAAUUGAAUUAACUUUUUUUAUAUUUAAACAUUAAUUUAUGAUUUAAUGAUCCAUUAUUUAUGAUUAAAAGAUUAAAUUACCUUAGGGAUAACAGCGUAAUUUUUUUUUAGAGUUCUAAUCGAAAAAAAAGAUUGCGACCUCGAUGUUGGAUUAAAAUAUACAUUUGGUGUAGGGGCUAAAUAGUUAGGUCUGUUCGACCUUUAAAAUUUUACA